Molecule: ribosomal RNA, 459 nt
Filed under: uncultured bacterium
Lineage: Bacteria
Description: partial 16S ribosomal RNA
Rfam family: Bacterial small subunit ribosomal RNA
Source: RNAcentral
CCUACGGGAGGCAGCAGUGAGGAAUAUUGGUCAAUGGUCGGGAGACUGAACCAGCCAAGCCGCGUGAGGGAGGAAGGUACAGAGUAUCGUAAACCUCUUUUGUCAGGGAACAAAGGCGGGGACGUGUCCCCGGCUGAGUGUACCUGAAGAAAAAGCAUCGGCUAACUCCGUGCCAGCAGCCGCGGUAAUACGGAGGAUGCGAGCGUUAUCCGGAUUUAUUGGGUUAAAAGGGUGCGCAGGCGGUCUGUUAAGUCAGCGGUCAAAGCCCGGGGCUCAACCCCGGCCCGCCGUUGAAACUGGCAGUCUCGAGUUGGAGAGAAGUAUGCGGAAUGCGCGGUGUAGCGGUGAAAUGCAUAGAUAUCGCGCAGAACUCCGAUUGCGAAGGCAGCAUGCCGGCUCCACACUGACGCUGAGGCACGAAAGCGUGGGUAUCGAACAGGAUUAGAUACCCUGGUAGUC